This 527-nucleotide long non-coding RNA is filed under the name Trifolium pratense (red clover). RNAcentral describes it as "long non-coding RNA (TPRA_LNC012246)". The record is from RNAcentral. Lineage: Eukaryota; Viridiplantae; Streptophyta; Magnoliopsida; Fabales; Fabaceae.
UUUAUUUUUCUCUCUUUUUUGUUGUCUGAUCCAAGUCCUUGAAUCUUACAUUGAUAUACUGAUUAAGGCGUAGAAGUGUUUUAGAAAAUUAAUCAUUCUCGCACCUUCAACUAAUUUGUUUUGUGGACAUGGCCAUGGCAGGCUGGUGGACCUUUCUAUCCAGUUUUAACCAGCAAACGAGAUAGCCGUCAAUCGUAUUUUCAGGAAGCAACUGUUUCGAUUCUGUUGGUAGCAACUGAUCAAAUUCCAACUUGGAAUUCCAAGACAUGAUGAUAACGUUACGCGCACACUUCAACUCUUCAAUCUUAGAGGAUUCAAUGCCCGGGAGACAGUCAGCCUUCUUUGAUGGAUGUUAAACUCAAAAUCAAGUUAUUAUACUAUUAUAUUUAAGUUUAGGUGAAUGGGAUGUACUAAACUAAAUUUUGGAAGCAUGUGUCACAUGCAAUGAGGUUUCAGAUAAACUUUACAUUGUAUUUUUUACUAUUAAUUAAUUAUUUGUCUGAGUAUUUUUUUUUUAUUGCGACUUG